This 497-nucleotide ribosomal RNA is filed under the name uncultured bacterium. RNAcentral describes it as "partial 16S ribosomal RNA". It matches the Rfam family "Bacterial small subunit ribosomal RNA", at positions 28 to 507 of the family's 1533-position model. The record is from RNAcentral.
GAUGAACGCUGGCGGCGUGCCUAAUACAUGCAAGUCGAGCGAACAGACGAGGAGCUUGCUCCUCUGACGUUAGCGGCGGACGGGUGAGUAACACGUGGAUAACCUACUUAUAAGACUGGGAUAACUUCGGGAAACCGGAGCUAAUACCGGAUAAUAUAUUGAACCGCAUGGUUCAAUAGUGAAAGACGGUUUUGCUGUCACUUAUAGAUGGAUCCGCGCCGCAUUAGCUAGUUGGUAAGGUAACGGCUUACCAAGGCGACGAUGCGUAGCCGACCUGAGAGGGUGAUCGGCCACACUGGAACUGAGACACGGUCCAGACUCCUACGGGAGGCAGCAGUAGGGAAUCUUCCGCAAUGGGCGAAAGCUUGACGGAGCAACGCCGCGUGAGUGAUGAAGGUCUUCGGAUCGUAAAACUCUGUUAUUAGGGAAGAACAAAUGUGUAAGUAACUAUGCACGUCUUGACGGUACCUAAUCAGAAAGCCACGGCUAACUACGUG